Molecule: ribosomal RNA, 238 nt
Filed under: uncultured bacterium
Lineage: Bacteria
Description: partial 16S ribosomal RNA
Rfam family: Bacterial small subunit ribosomal RNA
Source: RNAcentral
CGGCGAACGGGUGAGUAACACGUGAGCAACCUGCCCCGAAGACUGGGAUAACACCGGGAAACCGGUGCUAAUACCGGAUACCCCCACUAGGCCGCAUGACCAGGUGAGGAAAUGAAUUUCGCUUCGGGAGGGGCUCGCGGGCUAUCAGCUUGUUGGUGGGGUAACGGCCUACCAAGGCGACGACGGCUAGCUGGUCUGAGAGGACGACCAGCCACACUGGGACUGAGACACGGUCCAG